RNAcentral lists this ribosomal RNA (509 nucleotides) under uncultured bacterium. RNAcentral's name for it is "bacterial SSU rRNA". It matches the Rfam family "Bacterial small subunit ribosomal RNA", at positions 17 to 518 of the family's 1533-position model. The record is from RNAcentral.
UUCUGGCUCAGGAUGAACGCUAGCGACAGGCUAACACAUGCAAGUCGAGGGGCAGCACGGGAGUAGCAAUACAACUGGUGGCGACCGGCGCACGGGUGAGUAACGCGUAUGCAACCUACCUAUCAGAGGGGAAUAACCCGGCGAAAGUCGGACUAAUACCGCAUAAAACAGGGGCACCGCAUGGUGAUAUUUGUUAAAGAAAUUCGCUGAUAGAUGGGCAUGCGUUCCAUUAGGUAGUUGGUGAGGUAACGGCUCACCAAGCCGACGAUGGAUAGGGAACUGAGAGGUUGGUCCCCCACACUGGUACUGAGACACGGACCAGACUCCUACGGGAGGCAGCAGUGAGGAAUAUUGGUCAAUGGGCGGGAGCCUGAACCAGCCAAGUCGCCGUGAAGGAAGAAGGAUCUAUGGUUCGUAAACUUCUUUUGCAGGGGAAUAAAGUGCAGGACGUGUCCUGUUUUGUAUGUACCCUGAGAAUAAGGAUCGGCUAACUCCGUGCCAGCAGCGGC